AAUAUUUUCCUCUUAAAAUAAUCUCAUUCGAUAAUCAAUCCUAAUUAUUAACUAAUUUAGCAACAGAAUUGCUUGCAUGUGCACUUGUUUACAAAGACGUAUACGGAGAUGUGUAUAAAUACGAAGAGAUAAUCAAGCAAUAUGCAGUUUAAUUUGCUUACUGACGACAUUACGAUCGAGAUAGACUUCAAUUUCAAAAACAAGAUGAAAGGAUUGCUGUAUAUUUUUGUCAUUAUAAUGACUUUUUUGACAUUAACUUCAACGGUCAUGUCACAAGAAAUUGAACCCGAGCCUCUUCUGCAGAGAUGGAAACGUGAAACCUGCGAAUACCGGGAAUGCGAUCAGUUCUGUCGCCGCCUCGGCUUACCUGGGGGAGCUUGUGUAAGGGACAAAUGCGACUGCGAUCGUUUUUAGUCGAUUUACCUCAUUUUUAUAUGCAAUAAAAACUUUUUUUUUAAUAAAUUCGCUUUUUAAACCGAACAGGACAAAAUUAUGAUGAAAUAUAUUAAUUGCAAAAUUAA
Molecule: long non-coding RNA, 521 nt
Organism: Vanessa tameamea
Lineage: Eukaryota; Metazoa; Arthropoda; Insecta; Lepidoptera; Nymphalidae
Exons: 2
Source: RefSeq, a predicted model, not a curated record